UACGGAGGAUGCGAGCGUUAUCCGGAUUUAUUGGGUUUAAAGGGUGCGUAGGUGGUUUGGCAAGUUGGUAGCGUAACUCCGGGGCUCAACCCCGGCGAGCCGUUGAAACUGUGUGGCUGGAGACGGAGAGAAGUAGGCGGAAUGCGCGGUGUAGCGGUGAAAUGCAUAGAUAUCGCGCAGAACUCCGAUUGCGAAGGCAGCCUACCGGCUCCACACUGACGCUGAGGCACGAAAGCGUGGGUAUCGAA
Molecule: ribosomal RNA, 248 nt
Filed under: uncultured Muribaculaceae bacterium
Lineage: Bacteria; Pseudomonadati; Bacteroidota; Bacteroidia; Bacteroidales; Muribaculaceae
Description: partial 16S ribosomal RNA
Rfam family: Bacterial small subunit ribosomal RNA
Source: RNAcentral